AACAAUAGAACGUUAGGCAAACAAAUGAGUUAAUCAUAUAAAAAGACAGUCGUGUCCGAUAAGUAAUUUUUAAGCAAGUCCCAUCAGACUUUAAACCGUCGUCCCGUUGGGAACGACAGCUAAGUGUGUACCCUAAGACAAUUUAUGAGGAUGUUUAUACGUUGCUAUGCGGACAUCUUUUCACUGUGGGUCGUAUGAAAAAGGACCGAAACGGAGGCAUAAACAUUAUGAACCAGUCACAUAAAAUACCAUGAGGGUGGCAGGAAGUUGGCCAACUUUAAAGAGAGCGAAUUCGGCGCACGAUGCCUACUGUGCACAGGAUGGUUGGACGAGCCGGAAUAGAGGAGCAUAGGUCGCUCUUGGUGAGCGUAAUCUAGCUAGGGAAAAGCAGGGGCGUGUAGAGCGGUACCUAAACGACCAGUUCGGGAUAGGCGGUACUGUACGAAGGAGUUCGAGGUUGGGGACGUCGGGUUCAAGGUGUGCGGCCGUAGGGCGCGCGUUGGUAACACUACGACGUUGGGGCGCCCCGCUGCGAGCCGCGUGAGGACCCUGCCUUGUGCGUCCCCCUCCGCCGACGAGUAGCCACAACGGCCGCUACACUACGCCGCGAGCAGCGGGGCGGGCACACCCUUGCGUCGUUGAGCUGGUACCAGCGGCCACGACGGUGCGUAAUUGAGUAGGUACGGCGGCACGACGCUACGUUGGAGCAACCGAGUAACCGUUACACUACGUUAUAGCGGCCGAGCGACUACGACGUACAGCGGUCGCCGCCUCGACGUUACCUCGCGAACAGCCGCCGAAGGACACGAGGGCUACGUCGUGCGAGCGCCCGCCAAGGGACACAACGUAGCGUCGCGAGCGGGCGCUGGAGCCUCAACGGCACGUCACGAGUCACGAGGUAACCUUGUGGCUGCCUCGACGUUACCUCGAAGCAACCGCCGAGGGCACGAGGCUACGUAGCUAGCGGCUGCGAGGGCCACGACGUAGCGUUGUGAGCAGUCGUCGACCUACUUCGCAAACCACGACGAUACCUAAUAAUUGACUAAUUCAUUAGUUUAAUAACAUAGUUAAGAAAUGAAAUUACCUAGUAAAACGUAAUUAGUAAAACGGUUUGCAAUAAGAAAUUAGAAAAAGAAAUCAAAACAAAGUG
Molecule: ribosomal RNA, 1150 nt
Filed under: Triticum aestivum (bread wheat)
Lineage: Eukaryota; Viridiplantae; Streptophyta; Magnoliopsida; Poales; Poaceae
Description: partial small subunit ribosomal RNA
Source: RNAcentral